GCGAAUCUGCGAAGGCAAGCGGAUCUCUUAAAGCCGUUCUCAGUUCGGACUGUAGGCUGCAACUCGCCUACACGAAGCUGGAAUCGCUAGUAAUCGCGGAUCAGCACGCCGCGGUGAAUACGUUCCCGGGCCUUGUACACACCGCCCGUCACACCAUGAGAGUCUGUAACACCCAAAGCCGGUGGGAUAACCUUUAUAGGAGUCAGCCGUCUAAGGUAGGACAGAUGAUUAGGGUGAAGUCGUAACAAGGUAAC
This 254-nucleotide ribosomal RNA is filed under the name uncultured bacterium. Its description in RNAcentral is "partial 16S ribosomal RNA". It matches the Rfam family "Bacterial small subunit ribosomal RNA", at positions 1249 to 1500 of the family's 1533-position model. The record is from RNAcentral.